Molecule: non-coding RNA, 470 nt
Organism: Arvicanthis niloticus (Nile rat)
Lineage: Eukaryota; Metazoa; Chordata; Mammalia; Rodentia; Muridae
Source: RefSeq, a predicted model, not a curated record
GCAUGCGGUUGACCAUAGAGACGGGAUAGUCUAGGCAACCCAGAGGUCAUAGCAGCAAACCCUGAGAGAGGAUGUAUGAAGAAUACGAAGCCUUUCCCAACAAAAAGCAGGAAUGGGCCUAGGCUCCAGGAGUCUCUCGCCUGAGGAAAACGCACAGAAAUAAAAUCCACACUCAUCUGGAGGUCAGAAGUCUCCGGGUUGGGUGCAUGAAUCUACUCUGCUUCCGCCUCGUCUGGCCUGUUCUCCUUGGGUUCACAGCAGCCAUUUACCAGACCUCUUAGUCCCCAGGUCACCGGAGAGGUCGAGUGUCACAUCCCCACGUGUCACGCCACAAGCACACAAAGGUUGCAUUAAUUGAUCGACAGUGCGGCAAGACAGUCAAAAGACAGUGCCCAAGGAAAAGUGUCUAUUUCUGCCAUACCGCCUCCACACACAGAACACUACUUACCUUCACUCUCCGAGCUGGAAAG